RNAcentral lists this ribosomal RNA (201 nucleotides) under uncultured bacterium. RNAcentral describes it as "partial 16S ribosomal RNA". It matches the Rfam family "Bacterial small subunit ribosomal RNA", at positions 1300 to 1500 of the family's 1533-position model. The record is from RNAcentral.
GCAGUCUGCAACUCGGCUGCAUGAAGCUGGAAUCGCUAGUAAUCGCGGAUCAGAAUGCCGCGGUGAAUACGUUCCCGGGUCUUGUACACACCGCCCGUCACACCAUGGGAGUCAGCAACGCCCGAAGCCGGUGACCCAACCUUAGGGAGGGAGCCGUCGAAGGCGGGGCGGAUAACUGGGGUGAAGUCGUAACAAGGUAUC